RNAcentral lists this ribosomal RNA (490 nucleotides) under uncultured bacterium. Its description in RNAcentral is "partial 16S ribosomal RNA". It matches the Rfam family "Bacterial small subunit ribosomal RNA", at positions 29 to 507 of the family's 1533-position model. The record is from RNAcentral.
AGUGAACGCUGGCGGUAGGCCUAACACAUGCAAGUCGAACGGCAGCACAGGAGAGCUUGCUCUCUGGGUGGCGAGUGGCGGACGGGUGAGGAAUACAUCGGAAUCUGCCCAGUCGUGGGGGAUAACGUAGGGAAACUUACGCUAAUACCGCAUACGACCUUCGGGUGAAAGAGGGGGAUCGCAAGACCUCUCGCGAUUGGAUGAGCCGAUGUCGGAUUAGCUAGUUGGCGGGGUAAUGGCCCACCAAGGCGACGAUCCGUAGCUGGUCUGAGAGGAUGAUCAGUCACACUGGAACUGAGACACGGUCCAGACUCCUACGGGAGGCAGCAGUGGGGAAUAUUGGACAAUGGGCGCAAGCCUGAUCCAGCCAUACCGCGUGGGUGAAGAAGGCCUUCGGGUUGUGAAGCCCUUUUGUUGGGAAAGAAAUCUUUCAGGCUAAUACCCUGGGAGGAUGACGGUACCCAAAGAAUAAGCACCGGCUAACUUCGUG